GGGGAAUUGUUCGCAAUGGGCGCAAGCCUGACGACGCAACGCCGCGUGGAGGAUGAAGGUCUUCGGAUUGUAAACUCCUGUCGAACGGGACGAACACCUCUUGGGAUAACACCCUGAGAGGCUGACGGUACCCGCAGAAUAAGCCCCGGCUAACUUCGUGCCAGCAGCCGCGGUAAGACGAAGGGGGCAAGCGUUGUUCGGAAUUACUGGGCGUAAAGCGCGUGUAGGUGGUUGUCAUAGUCAGGCGUGAAAGCCUCGAGCUCAACUCGAGAACUGCGCUUGAUACUGGGCAGCUUGAGGACCGGAGAGGAUAGUGGAAUUCCCAGUGUAGUGGUGAAAUACGUAGAGAUUGGGAAGAACACCAGUGGCGAAGGCGGCUAUCUGGACGGUUUCUGACACUAAGACGCGAAAGCGUGGGGAGCAAA
Molecule: ribosomal RNA, 425 nt
Filed under: uncultured bacterium
Lineage: Bacteria
Description: bacterial SSU rRNA
Rfam family: Bacterial small subunit ribosomal RNA
Source: RNAcentral